Molecule: transfer RNA, 65 nt
Filed under: Brachynopus latus
Lineage: Eukaryota; Metazoa; Arthropoda; Insecta; Coleoptera; Staphylinidae
Description: tRNA-Thr
Source: RNAcentral
GUUUUAAUAAUUUAAAUAAAAAUAUUGAUUUUGUAAAUCAAAUUUAAGAAAAAUCUUUUAAAACU